AUAAUUUAUUAUUUUUGUGAAAAUAACCUGCAAUUAAAAUUAAUUAAGUAAAUUUAGAAAACAAAUUAGACACAUAAUAUAAUAAUGUUUGGCUCUGGCUUAUUUAUAUAAUAAAAGUAAAUGAAUACACAUGGUUUUCUUAGAGCGGAGUGAGGUGAGUAAAGGUAAAAAGAAAUUUAAAAUUUCUCAAAGCCUUUAUUUUAAGUAUUAUUAAAUAUAUAAUGCUUAGUAAAGUCCCACUAACACCAGUGCUGGAGAUUAAAAAAGGGCGUAAGUCCGAUUUAGAUUAGCUAUUUAAAUUUGGUUAACUUGGUGCCAGCAUCCGCGGUUACACCAAGAAAUUAAGUUAUAUAUUAUGGUAAAAAGACAGUUAAACAGAUAGUCAAUUUUUUAUUAGCUUUUAUUCAAAAGUAAAAUUUAUAAAUAAAAGUUAAAACCCUAUAAAAAAUAUAAGUUGAGGCUGUGAAAAUCUUGAGGGAAACUAGGAUUAGAUACCCUAUUAUUCUUGAAGAUAAAUAAAUUUAUACCCGGGCACUACGAAUGAUCUUUAUAUUUAAAACCCAAAGAGCUUGGCGGUGUUUUAGACUAUUUAGGGGAACUUGUUUCAUAAUCGAUAAUCCACGACAUACCUAACCUUCUUUUGUAAUCAGUAUGUAUACCGUUGUCGUCAGGUAACUUUUUAAAAUAAAAAAGUUAGCGAAAAAGCCAUAAGCUUAUACGUCAAAUCAAGGUACAGCCUAUGGGGAGGAGAGAAUGAGUUACAAUUAAAAUUUAUAAUAACGGAAUAGAAAAAGAAAAUUUCUCUGAAGGCGGACUUAAAAGUAAAAAAAUUACUAUAGAAAUUUCUUGAAUCAAGCUCUGAAACGUGCACACAUCGCCCGUCGCUCUCGCUGAAAAGUGAGAUAAGUCGUAACAUAGUAGGGGUAAUGGAAAUUGUCCCUAGAUGA
RNAcentral lists this non-coding RNA (947 nucleotides) under Oncomelania hupensis robertsoni. The record is from RNAcentral. Lineage: Eukaryota; Metazoa; Mollusca; Gastropoda; Littorinimorpha; Pomatiopsidae.